This 56-nucleotide transfer RNA is filed under the name Sperchon plumifer. RNAcentral's name for it is "tRNA-Glu". The record is from RNAcentral. Lineage: Eukaryota; Metazoa; Arthropoda; Arachnida; Trombidiformes; Sperchontidae.
UCUUCUUUAGUAUAAUAAAGUACAUUUACUUUUCAUGUAAAAAGAAAAAAGAAGAU